Molecule: long non-coding RNA, 541 nt
Organism: Chelonia mydas (Green sea turtle)
Lineage: Eukaryota; Metazoa; Chordata; Testudines; Cheloniidae
Exons: 2
Source: RefSeq, a predicted model, not a curated record
AGGUCUUCCCUUGCUGGAGGGAGUGAAGAAUGCAAUCAACAAGGUAUCUGUCUUUGGACGCUACACAAUGCCUCAUUUGUUUUCUUGUAUGCAGGGCGAGCACUUUGCCUUAAUCAAUGUUUCUUUUUCCUGUUUGAUUAUAAAGUCUUUGGGACAAAGGACCAUCUCUUCAGUGUGUAUAUACAAUCCCUAGCAAAAUGGGGCCUAGAUCUUUGAUUGCGACAGCAUCUAGAGGCCAUAAUUCUGCUGCUACUACUAAGAAUGGGCAGAUAGUAACAAGGGAUGUAAUGGAGCAAAAGCAAUGGAGUGCUUUACUCUGAAUGCCCAGGAAGCAGCACAAUUGGAUCAGCACGAUUUCCAGGAAUAGUGAGCCUUGUAGUAUCAACUCUUCAAGUGAUGUCCAGCACAAGUCUGUGAGGGGAGCAGAAAAAUGGUUGAGAUUUCACAGGGCUCUGAGACUGGAGUUUUCCCUAUUAGGGGAAGGACAUAGUAAUUCAUUGUCCCUUCCGCUGUCUGUAUCCUACCAUCUUUGGAAGGCUGA